Myodes glareolus (Bank vole) is the source of this 509-nucleotide non-coding RNA. The record is from RefSeq and is a predicted model, not a curated record. NCBI's taxonomy places the organism in Eukaryota, Metazoa, Chordata, Mammalia, Rodentia, Cricetidae.
AAUGUGCUUACUUGGGAUCUUUCCCUGCUUCUCAAUAAGACAACACUCGGCCUCCCUUGUUCAUGACCAGAAAGACAUGUCAUUCUGAUUCAUCUCUUGAACAGAGAUGGGAGACAGAUGAUGAUCAUUUUUUGUGUCAUAAAUGAAGUGACACCAAAAGGAUUUGCUAACUGCCCCCAGACAAGUCUCCAUGGAGAGAAGUGGACGUAAGCAAGCAGUACCUAGAGUGCUUUGAGUGUCAGAGCACAGUCCUUGAAUUGCAAAGGCAAGAAAUCCUGAACAGUUGAAGAAAGGAGAAAACUCGCUGAGCGCAAGCAAGCAAACAAGAAUCUGUAUCCACGUCCCUUCCAUUUCCUCUUCGGAAGGAGACAACAGCCAAACAGGACAAAACAGGACACAACAAGACAAGAUGAAAACCCUCAUUUGGAUGCUGGACAAAGAGUCAGAAACAUACCCAAUUUCACUGUCAGGAGUCCCACAAAAACACCAAGCAAACAGCCAGAACAUAU